RNAcentral lists this ribosomal RNA (253 nucleotides) under uncultured bacterium. RNAcentral's name for it is "partial 16S ribosomal RNA". It matches the Rfam family "Bacterial small subunit ribosomal RNA", at positions 524 to 776 of the family's 1533-position model. The record is from RNAcentral.
UACGUAGGGACCAAGCGUUGUUCGGAUUUAUUGGGCGUAAAGGGCGCGUAGGCGGCGUGACAAGUCACUUGUGAAAUCUCUGAGCUUAACUCAGAACGGCCAAGUGAAACUGUCGUGCUAGAGUGCAGAAGGGGCAAUCGGAAUUCUUGGUGUAGCGGUGAAAUGCGUAGAUAUCAAGAGGAACACCUGAGGUGAAGACGGGUUGCUGGGCUGACACUGACGCUGAUGCGCGAAAGCCAGGGGAGCAAACGGG